UACGUAGGGGGCUAGCGUUGUCCGGAAUCAUUGGGCGUAAAGCGCGUGUAGGCGGUCCGGUAAGUCCGCUGUGAAAGUCGAGGGCUCAACCCUCGAAUGCCGGUGGAUACUGUCGGGCUAGAGUACGGAAGAGGCGAGUGGAAUUCCUGGUGUAGCGGUGAAAUGCGCAGAUAUCAGGAGGAACACCAAUUGCGAAGGCAGCUUGCUGGGACGUUACUGACGCUGAGACGCGAAAGCGUGGGGAGCAAACAGG
Molecule: ribosomal RNA, 253 nt
Filed under: uncultured bacterium
Lineage: Bacteria
Description: partial 16S ribosomal RNA
Rfam family: Bacterial small subunit ribosomal RNA
Source: RNAcentral